This 466-nucleotide ribosomal RNA is filed under the name uncultured bacterium. Its description in RNAcentral is "bacterial SSU rRNA". It matches the Rfam family "Bacterial small subunit ribosomal RNA", at positions 28 to 507 of the family's 1533-position model. The record is from RNAcentral.
GAUGAACGCUAGCGGCAGGCUUAACACAUGCAAGUCGAGGGGCAGCAUACCCGGUGACGGGUGAUGGCGACCGGCGGAAGGGUGAGUAACGCGUGAGCAACAUACCCGUAUCAGUGGGAUAAUACAGGGAAACUUGUUCUAAUAUCACAUAAUAUUAUUCAGAGGCAUCUUUGGAUAAUUAAAGUUCAGGCGGAUACGGAAUGGCUCGCGUGACAUUAGCUAGAUGGUAGGUAAAGGCCUACCAUGGCUAUGAUGUCUAGGGGUUCUGAGAGGGAGGUCCCCCACACUGGGACUGAGAUACGGCCCAGACUCCUACGGGAGGCAGCAGUUGGGAAUCUUAGGCAAUGGACGAAAGUCUGACCUAGCGACGCCGCGUGAGGGAAGAAGGCCUUCGGGUUGUAAACCUCUGUCAUGGGGGAAGAAGGAAGUGACGGUACCCCAAGAGGAAGCCCCUGCUAACUACGUG